UCCGGUUUGUCACCGGCAGUCUGGCGUGAGUCCCCAACUUAAUGCUGGCAACACGCCACGGGGGUUGCGCUCGUUGCGGGACUUAACCCAACAUCUCACGUCACGAGCUGACGACAGCCAUGCAGCAUCUGUGGUGCACCCUCGAAGGUCACACGUAUUCGGCGUCUCUGCCGGCUUUCCCGCGCAUGUCAAGCCUAGGUAAGGUUCUUCGCGUUGCGUCGAAUUAAACCACAUGCUCCACCGCUUGUGCGGGCCCCCGUCAAUUCUUUUGAGUUUUAGCCUUGCGGCCGUACUCCCCAGGCGGAACACUUAUCGCGUUGGCUUCGGCACAGACAGAUUCGACUCCGCCCACACCUAGUGUUCAUCGUUUACGGCGUGGACUAC
Molecule: unclassified non-coding RNA, 384 nt
Filed under: uncultured Rubrobacterales bacterium
Lineage: Bacteria; Bacillati; Actinomycetota; Rubrobacteria; Rubrobacterales
Description: contains 16S-23S intergenic spacer region
Source: RNAcentral